Molecule: ribosomal RNA, 229 nt
Filed under: uncultured bacterium
Lineage: Bacteria
Description: partial 16S ribosomal RNA
Rfam family: Bacterial small subunit ribosomal RNA
Source: RNAcentral
UACGAGGGGGGCAAGCGUUGUUCGGAAUUAUUGGGCGUAAAGGACGCGUAGGCGGUGCGGUAAGUCUGAUGUGAAAUCUCCGGGCUCAACUCGGAGUCUGCAUCAGAAACUGCCGUGCUCGAGUGUGGGAGAGGUGAGUGGAAUUCCCGGUGUAGCGGUGAAAUGCGCAGAUAUCGGGAGGAACACCUGUGGCGAAAGCGGCUCACUGGACCACAACUGACGCUGAGGC